AUUGAACGCUGGCGGCAUGCCUUACACAUGCAAGUCGAACGGCAGCACGGGUGCUUGCACCUGGUGGCGAGUGGCGAACGGGUGAGUAAUACAUCGGAACGUACCUUAUCGUGGGGGAUAACGCAGCGAAAGCUGUGCUAAUACCGCAUACGCCCUGAGGGGGAAAGCGGGGGAUCGCAAGACCCCGCGCGAUUAGAGCGGCCGAUGCCUGAUUAGCUUGUUGGUGGGGUAAAAGCCCACCAAGGCGACGAUCAGUAGCUGGCCUGAGAGGACGAUCAGCCACACUGGGACUGAGACACGGCCCAGACUCCUACGGGAGGCAGCAGUGGGGAAUUUUGGACAAUGGGGGCAACCCUGAUCCAGCAAUGCCGCGUGAGUGAAGAAGGCCUUCGGGUUGUAAAGCUCUUUUGUCAGGGAAGAAACACCGGCUCUAACACAGUCUGGGAGUGACGGUACCUGAAGAAUAAGCACCGGCUAACUACGUGCCAGCCGCCGCAGUAA
This 501-nucleotide ribosomal RNA is filed under the name uncultured bacterium. Its description in RNAcentral is "partial 16S ribosomal RNA". It matches the Rfam family "Bacterial small subunit ribosomal RNA", at positions 29 to 523 of the family's 1533-position model. The record is from RNAcentral.